AGGACGAACGCUGGCGGCGUGCUUAACACAUGCAAGUCGAGCGGUAAGGCCUUUCGGGGUACACGAGCGGCGAACGGGUGAGUAACACGUGGGUGAUCUGCCCUGCACUUCGGGAUAAGCCUGGGAAACUGGGUCUAAUACCGGAUAUGACCUCCUAUCGCAUGGUGGGUGGUGGAAAGAUUUAUCGGUGCAGGAUGGGCCCGCGGCCUAUCAGCUUGUUGGUGGGGUAAUGGCCUACCAAGGCGACGACGGGUAGCCGACCUGAGAGGGUGACCGGCACACUGGGACUGAGACACGGCCCAGACUCCUACGGGAGGCAGCAGUGGGGAAUAUUGCACAAUGGGCGAAAGCCUGAUGCAGCGACGCCGCGUGAGGAUGACGGCCUUCGGGUUGUAAACCUCGUUUCAGUCAGGGACGAAGCGCAAGUGACGUACCUGCAGAAGAGCACCGGCUAACUACGUGCCAGCGAGCCGAC
RNAcentral lists this ribosomal RNA (475 nucleotides) under uncultured soil bacterium. RNAcentral describes it as "bacterial SSU rRNA". It matches the Rfam family "Bacterial small subunit ribosomal RNA", at positions 26 to 518 of the family's 1533-position model. The record is from RNAcentral.